GCCUGGUGUCUUGGGU
This 16-nucleotide unclassified non-coding RNA is filed under the name synthetic construct. RNAcentral describes it as "RNA (5'-R(P*GP*CP*CP*UP*GP*GP*UP*GP*UP*CP*UP*UP*GP*GP*GP*U)-3') from synthetic construct (PDB 6J4Z, chain P)". The record is from RNAcentral.